AGAAUGUUGGUGCCUCAUGGUGUCCCAGAAAGAAAAAUGGACAUGGCGUCAGUAUGGAUUUCAGUAGAUAUUUCUAAGAAGAUCUGAGCAUAAAGGAAAUCAGACAGAAUCACCACACUUCCGGGUCACAGUUCCGGCGUUGGACCAAUCAGAUCGCUUUACAUUCGCUAGCCGAUGCUAAAGCAGACACUAACCUGCUUCCAUUGCGGCCAGCGGCUGAGCAUGGUCUCGCUGGAGGUACAGUCUUUUGGAUAUCCAUGUACAGAAAAGAUGCUGUGGUGAAGGAUGCAGGAUGAGUGUCAACGCUUCUCCUGAAUGAAUGAAUGCAUUGCGAAGAUGGUGUUUGCACUGUGGGAUGAGGUAGUAGGUUGUGUAGUUUUAGGGUGACACCCACACUGGGAGAUAACUAUACAGCCUACUGUCUUUCUCAGAGUGAAAAGAAAGCAGCUUCAAUGUCUACCAGCACGUGUUGGGGCUGUUUGGAAUAUGCAGUAUCAUAAGAUAAUAGGGCUAAAUAAGUCCUAAUUCACUGACAAACUUGGAUUGUGAUGUUCUUGUAUGUUAAAAGAUUCUGCUUCCACAGUGUGAGGUAGUAGUUUGUAUAGUUGUGGGAUAGUGAUUUUAUCCUGUCUGGAAGAUAACUAUACAAUCUAUUGCCUUCCCUGAGGGGCAGAGUUACAGUCACACUAUAUCUUAAAAUUGUUUAAUACCAAGUCCUAAAUGUCUUUUUAAGAGAGAAUUCUAUUAUUGUGAUUAUGUAAGUGCUAGCAUUUGUGAAUUAUUUAAUAAAUCAGUCACACAGUAAUAAGAACCUGUAAUGUUUUCAUUCAUUUUAUUAAAUUUGUUUUUGGUGAAUCAUGCUUUAAUAAAAAAUAAUCGGAGCACACAAAUAUAACAAACAUUUCUCAGAUAAUGGUGUAAAUAUGUAAUUCCUUUUUAAAAGAUAAAUCUGUAAUGUACAAUAGGUAGCUUCUUUUUUUUUUUCUUAAGAUUUCAGAACGUGUUUAAAAAUAUUAGUGCAGUGUUGCUGCUGUAGUGUUUAGAAAUCCACCUGUUUUAUCUUGCUCUGUUAUAGCCAAUGUGUAUAUGAUUAAAUGAUUUUGUAAUUAUGAUGUA
Molecule: long non-coding RNA, 1116 nt
Organism: Silurus meridionalis
Lineage: Eukaryota; Metazoa; Chordata; Actinopteri; Siluriformes; Siluridae
Exons: 3
Source: RefSeq, a predicted model, not a curated record